GCGACCCCAGGUCAGGCGGGGCUACCCGCUGAGUUUAUA
Molecule: ribosomal RNA, 39 nt
Filed under: Guapira opposita
Lineage: Eukaryota; Viridiplantae; Streptophyta; Magnoliopsida; Caryophyllales; Nyctaginaceae
Also listed under: 1 other name
Description: partial 26S ribosomal RNA
Source: RNAcentral